Molecule: ribosomal RNA, 497 nt
Filed under: uncultured bacterium
Lineage: Bacteria
Description: partial 16S ribosomal RNA
Rfam family: Bacterial small subunit ribosomal RNA
Source: RNAcentral
GAUGAACGCUGGCGGCGUGCCUAACACAUGCAAGUCGAACGAACGGACAUGAAGCUUUCUUUCUUGCUGUUAGCGGGGGGCGGGCGAGUGAAACGUGCAUAACACACCUCUUUUACUGGGGUAACAUCGUGGGAAAGGAUCUAAUACCGCCUAAUACUUCGAACCGCAGGAUUCAGGAGAGAUAGACGGUCUUCCCGACACUUAUAGCUGCAUCCGGGUUGCAUUAGCUAGUUGGUAAGGUAACGGCCAACCAAGGCAACGAUGCAUAGCCGACCUGAGAGGGGGAUCGGCCACACUGGAACUGAGACACGGUCCAGACUCCUACGGGAGGCAGCAGUAGGGAAUAUUCGGAAAUGGGCGAAAGCCUGACGAAGCAACCCCGCGUGAGUGAUGAAGGCCUUCGGAUCGUAAAGCCCUUUUAUUGGGAAAGAACAUCUGUUUGCGAAUAGGGAGACGUCUUGACGGUACCUAAAGAGAAAGCCACGGCUAACUACGUG